CCCCGCCUGGAUUCUUUCGAGAUGGUGUUGGCGAAAUCCGUCGGAGGCUGAUUGUCUGAUCGCUCCAUGCCGACGGCCGUUGUCGGAGGAGGAGGAGCUUGGGAAACUGGAGGUGAGGUCAGAGCCUGAGAUCUAGCCACGGAGGCCGUGGGUCGCCAUGUGGAUGCUUCGCAAGAAAGCAUCGGGCGAAGAUCUAGUAG
RNAcentral lists this long non-coding RNA (200 nucleotides) under Elaeis guineensis (African oil palm). RNAcentral describes it as "long non-coding RNA (EGUI_LNC076856)". Lineage: Eukaryota; Viridiplantae; Streptophyta; Magnoliopsida; Arecales; Arecaceae. The record is from RNAcentral.